ACAGAGGGUGCGAGCGUUAAUCGGAACUACUGGGCGUAAAGCGUGCGUAGACGGUAAUGUAAGUCGGAUGUGAAAGCCCCGGGCUCAACCUGGGAAUUGCAUUCGAGACUGCAUUGCUUGGGUGCGGAAGAGGGAAGCGGAAUUUCCGGUGUAGCGGUGAAAUGCGUAGAUAUCGGAAGGAACACCAGUGGCGAAAGCGACUUCCUGGACCAAUACUGACGCUCAUGUGCGAAAGCGUGGGGAGCAAACAGGA
This 253-nucleotide ribosomal RNA is filed under the name uncultured prokaryote. RNAcentral describes it as "partial 16S ribosomal RNA". It matches the Rfam family "Bacterial small subunit ribosomal RNA", at positions 525 to 777 of the family's 1533-position model. The record is from RNAcentral.